RNAcentral lists this ribosomal RNA (305 nucleotides) under uncultured bacterium. RNAcentral's name for it is "bacterial SSU rRNA". It matches the Rfam family "Bacterial small subunit ribosomal RNA", at positions 333 to 653 of the family's 1533-position model. The record is from RNAcentral.
AAGGGCCUACGGGGGGCAGCAGUGGGGAAUAUUGGGCAAUGGGCGCAAGCCUGACCCAGCAACGCCGCGUGAAGGAAGAAGGCUUUCGGGUUGUAAACUUCUUUUAAGAGGGAAGAGCAGAAGACGGUACCUCUUGAAUAAGCCACGGCUAACUACGUGCCAGCAGCCGCGGUAAUACGUAGGUGGCAAGCGUUGUCCGGAUUUACUGGGUGUAAAGGGGGCGCAGACGGCAAUGCAAGCCAGGAGUGAAAGCCCGGGGCCCAACCCCGGGACUGCUCUUGGAACUGCAUGGCUGGAGUACAGGG